GUUAAAUCCUACCUCCCCUUGCCCUUCCUCUUCUUCUUCCUCGGAUCUCUCCACGCGUUGCUUCAGGUUUUUUGUUUCUCGACGGGCUGACGUCAGAUGAUGUUUGCUAUUUGUUCUUCAUGCUUUAGCUUUUCACUCAUGUGAGUAUGCUGCCGUGGGAGAAACCAUCGCAAGACGAAAAAGAAAAAGAGAUACUUCAUCUUCUGAUACUUUUAUUGAUCCGGCUCAAGAAACCGCAACCAGUUCCAUGACCCCUAGCACCGUAUUCCUAGGUCAUUGUUUUGCUUGUUUUAUCUAUAGAAGAGUAUAGAAAAAAAAAAAUUAUGAGAGAUACAAUUGCAUCUAGAGGAGCCAACUUAGUAAACAAAUAAACUUAUUCCAAAUAACAUGGAGCACUUCUUUAUUUGCAUAUUUGAUAGGAAAUCUGAAAUUCUGCAACAAUAAAAUAGACAAAAGGAAACAUAAAUCAUUCAAUAUAAGUAUAACCAUGAUUUCCCCCUUUUUUGUGACUUGUGCUCAUUUAUUUAUUUCCCAUGAAGAGUAUAGAAAAAACUAGUUGAGUAGCUUAGCAACAUAUUGAUCACAACACAAUCAUAAACAACAAAAAUACAUUAAGAAAACAAAAAAUUUGCUUCCACAUUUCCAAGAUACAGCAGAUACCAUGGUAAAAAGAUACGGAAUGGUAUGGCUUUUAGUCUAAAUAUUAAUGUAUCAGUUCCAAAAACAUGGAAUGCUUUUAACUUAUUGAAGGAUGAGAUUUGUGAGGUCAUUGGAGAAAAUUCUUCCUUGUCAAUUAUUCAACUUAUUUCUUGUCUAUUAUUUGAUAAUGAGAAUAAAUAAUUUUGUUCAUUUUGAGUUGUCAAUGCUUCAUAGGCACACAAGUUAUUAGUGAGGAGGAACAAUACAAUGAAGGUUUGUCUCGGUGAUCUACAUUGACUGUGUUGGAGGAACUUGCUUCAAGUAUUUUCGUCGCACAUCAUAUCAUUGAAGCGACUAGCUCUGAUGUGAUCCAACAAAAAUCUGCCUGGCCCUAUUUUCACUCAAACAAAGGUCCAAAGAGAUGUUUAGAGCUUACAUCAAGAAAUUCAAUCAGGUAGUCUUGGACGUCUUCUCGGUCACCUUGGAAAUUCUUGUGAGCACUUUUUCUCUGGGACUCGCAUGUAAUGAUUUCUUUCGCUCUUUGAUCAGGAAGUCCCCAGAAACUUUGAUCAUCUACUUAGCCGAGUGAUCUAGUACAUCAAUAUUAAAGAAGUACGAUCCAUCCGAAAUAAAUAACUUAUCACAGUCGCACCGGCUCAGCUACCAGAGCCGAACACCCUAUCUCUGCGACUUUCUCACUCAUUGAUCUAAUUAAUGUAUCUUUUCUUUUCCUCUUUCAUUUCUCCCCAUGAAA
Molecule: long non-coding RNA, 1393 nt
Organism: Zingiber officinale
Lineage: Eukaryota; Viridiplantae; Streptophyta; Magnoliopsida; Zingiberales; Zingiberaceae
Exons: 3
Source: RefSeq, a predicted model, not a curated record